Molecule: ribosomal RNA, 496 nt
Filed under: uncultured bacterium
Lineage: Bacteria
Description: partial 16S ribosomal RNA
Rfam family: Bacterial small subunit ribosomal RNA
Source: RNAcentral
GAUGAACGCUGGCGGCGUGCCUAAUACAUGCAAGUCGAGCGAACGGACGAGAAGCUUGCUUCUCUGAUGUUAGCGGCGGACGGGUGAGUAACACGUGGAUAACCUACCUAUAAGACUGGGAUAACUUCGGGAAACCGGAGCUAAUACCGGAUAAUAUUUUGAACCGCAUGGUUCAAAAGUGAAAGACGGUCUUGCUGUCACUUAUAGAUGGAUCCGCGCUGCAUUAGCUAGUUGGUAAGGUAACGGCUUACCAAGGCAACGAUGCAUAGCCGACCUGAGAGGGUGAUCGGCCACACUGGAACUGAGACACGGUCCAGACUCCUACGGGAGGCAGCAGUAGGGAAUCUUCCGCAAUGGGCGAAAGCCUGACGGAGCAACGCCGCGUGAGUGAUGAAGGUCUUCGGAUCGUAAAACUCUGUUAUUAGGGAAGAACAGAUGUGUAAGUAACGGUGCACAUCUUGACGGUACCUAAGCAGAAAACCACGGCUAACUACGU